Molecule: unclassified non-coding RNA, 294 nt
Organism: Callithrix jacchus (white-tufted-ear marmoset)
Lineage: Eukaryota; Metazoa; Chordata; Mammalia; Primates; Cebidae
Rfam family: Metazoan signal recognition particle RNA
About the family: The signal recognition particle (SRP) is a universally conserved ribonucleoprotein. It is involved in the co-translational targeting of proteins to membranes.
Source: Ensembl
GCCAGUGGCACGUACCUGUAGUCCCAGCUACUCCGGAGGCUGAGGUGGGAGGAUCACUUGAGGCCAGGAGUUCUGGGCUGCAGUGCGCGAUGCCCAUCUGGUGUCCGCACUAAGUUCAGCAUCAAUAUGGUGACCUUCCGGGAGUGGGGGACCACCAGAUUGUCUAAGGAGGGGUGAACCGGCCCAGGUUGGAAAUGGAGCAGGUCAAAACUCCCAUGCCUAUCAUUAGUGGGAUCGCGCUUGUGAAUAGCCACUGCACUCUAGCCUGGGCAACAUAGCAUGACCCUAUCUCUU